CGGUGGAGCAUGUGGUUUAAUUCGAUGCAACGCGAAGAACCUUACCUGGGCUUGACAUCCCGGGAAUCCCUUGGAACAAGGAGUGCCUUCGGGAACCUGGAGACAGGUGCUGCAUGGCUGUCGUCAGCUCGUGUCGCGAGAUGUAGGGUUAAGUCCCGUAACGAGCGCAACCCUUGUCUUUAAUUGCCAUCAUUGAGUUGGGCACUUUAAAGAGACUGCCGGUGUUAAACCGGAGGAAGGUGGGGGAUGACGUCAAGUCCUCAUGGCCUUUAUGCCCAGGGCUACACACGUGCUACAAUGGGCGGUACAAAGAGAAGCAACCUCGCGAGGGUGAGCAAAUCUCAAAAAGCCGUUCUCAGUUCGGAUUGAAGUCUGCAACUCGACUUCAUGAAGUCGGAAUCGCUAGUAAUCGCGGAUCAGCAUGCCGCGGUGAAUACGUUCCCGGGCCUU
Molecule: ribosomal RNA, 450 nt
Filed under: uncultured Syntrophaceae bacterium
Lineage: Bacteria; Pseudomonadati; Thermodesulfobacteriota; Syntrophia; Syntrophales; Syntrophaceae
Description: bacterial SSU rRNA
Rfam family: Bacterial small subunit ribosomal RNA
Source: RNAcentral